RNAcentral lists this ribosomal RNA (253 nucleotides) under uncultured bacterium. RNAcentral's name for it is "partial 16S ribosomal RNA". It matches the Rfam family "Bacterial small subunit ribosomal RNA", at positions 524 to 776 of the family's 1533-position model. The record is from RNAcentral.
AACGUAGGACACAAGCGUUAUCCGGAGUUACUGGGCGUAAAGGGCGCGUAGGCGGUCCGACAAGUCAGGGGUGAAAUCCUGCAGCUUAACUGCAGAAGUGCCUUUGAUACUGUCGGUCUUGAGGGAGAUAGGGGUGUGCGGAACUCACAGUGGAGCGGUGAAAUGCGUUGAUAUUGUGAGGAACGCCGGAGGCGAAAGCGGCGCACUGAAUCUCUUCUGACGCUGAGGCGCGAAAGCUAGGGGAGCAAACGGG